GAGGUAACACAUAAAGUGACCAGAGCCCGGAAGAGUUCACAUGCUUCAGGUCACACAGCGGACUCUGAGCUCCGUCUCUCCAAGGGGAAUUCCGGCAUGUGUCCCCUCCUUCCUUCCCAGACUGGAAGAGGGACCAGCUGUACUCAUUAUGCCAGGUGCCAGAGCACAGCUGUUCCCUCAUUGUAGCCUUCCACACCCAAGUCCAGGCUCUGCCAUGCCCUCCCCGCUUCUCCCGUUGCUGCUUCGAUCGUUGCUCUCCCGCCUCCUGCUGCCUGUUGCCCGCCUGGCCCGCCAGCACCUCCUGCCCCUGCUGCGCCGACUGGCCCGCCGACUGAGCUCCCAAGACCUGAGAGAGGCUUUGCUGGGCUGUCUGCUGUUUGUCCUCAGCCAGCAACAGCCACCGGAUGCUGGAGAGACUUCCAGAGUGGACCACUCCCAAAGGAAGCAGAGAUUGGGCCCCCAGAAGUGAGGCCACGGGUCGUGGAAGCAGCAGUGUCUGGCCAUUGAAGUACCGUCUUUUGGAGAGGUUUAGCCCAAGUAUCUGCACUGACUGUAGAAUGCCCAGUGAGAGAAGACGGAGUGGGGGCUGAGCGCGAGAGGAUUCUGACCCGAGCUCCCAUUCUCCUAGGAUCUAGCAGAUCACAGAUGUGCUGUUCUUCCGUUCUUCCCUUCUCCCGGCAGUCCCCUCUGCCAAUGACCUCUGGCCUUCAGGGUAGACCGGCAAGUGAGGGCAGCAAGAUACUUCCUACAAAAGUCCGCAGAAACUAGAGCACAUGAGACCUGUGGGGACAAGCGGAUUAAAGGUAGUCCCAGCUUCCCUAAGAC
This is a non-coding RNA of Myodes glareolus (Bank vole), 825 nucleotides long. Lineage: Eukaryota; Metazoa; Chordata; Mammalia; Rodentia; Cricetidae. The record is from RefSeq and is a predicted model, not a curated record.